Molecule: ribosomal RNA, 414 nt
Filed under: uncultured bacterium
Lineage: Bacteria
Description: bacterial SSU rRNA
Rfam family: Bacterial small subunit ribosomal RNA
Source: RNAcentral
GCAUAACGCGAAGAACCUUACCUACUCUUGACAUCUAGCGAAGAUUGCAGAGAUGCAGUUGUGCCUUCGGGAACGCUAAGACAGGUGCUGCAUGGCUGUCGUCAGCUCGUGUUGUGAAAUGUUGGGUUAAGUCCCGCAACGAGCGCAACCCUUAUCCUUAGUUGCCAGCACGUAAUGGUGGGAACUCUAGGGAGACUGCCGGUGAUAAACCGGAGGAAGGUGGGACGACGUCAAGUCAUCAUGGCCCUUACGAGUAGGGCUACACACGUGCUACAAUGGUACGUACAGAGGGAGGCAAGCUGGCGACAGUGAGCGGAUCUCUUAAAGCGUAUCGUAGUCCGGAUCGCAGUCUGCAACUCGACUGCGUGAAGUCGGAAUCGCUAGUAAUCGCAAAUCAGAAUGUUGCGGUGAAUA